GGACCCGCACAAGCGGUGGAGCAUGUGGUUUAAUUCGAUGCAACGCGAAAAACCUUACCUACUCUUGAAAUACUUGGGAGCUCUUGUAAUGAGAGUGUGCCUUUUGGAACCAAGAUACAGGUGCUGCAUGGCUGUCGUCAGCUCGUGUCGUGAGAUGUUCCGUUAAGUCGGAUAACGAGCGCAACCCUUACCCUUAUUUGCCAGCGAUUCGGUCGGGAACUAUAAGGGGACUGCCGGUGAUAAACCGGAGGAAGGUGAGGACGACGUCAAGUAUCAUGGCCCUUACGAGUAGGGCUACACACGUGCUACAAUGGGGAAUACAGACGGACGCUAAGCCGCGAGGUGGUG
RNAcentral lists this ribosomal RNA (348 nucleotides) under uncultured bacterium. RNAcentral describes it as "bacterial SSU rRNA". It matches the Rfam family "Bacterial small subunit ribosomal RNA", at positions 917 to 1267 of the family's 1533-position model. The record is from RNAcentral.